Suricata suricatta (meerkat) is the source of this 72-nucleotide non-coding RNA. NCBI's taxonomy places the organism in Eukaryota, Metazoa, Chordata, Mammalia, Carnivora, Herpestidae. The record is from the annotation of a RefSeq genome assembly.
GGGGAUGUAGCUCAGUGGUAGAGCAUAUGCUUUGCAUGCAUAAGGCCCCGGGUUCAAUCCCUGGCAUCUCCA